ACUGCUAAGUCAGUCGAGUGGAACCGCCUCUAUUUAUAGAAGCCUGGCCUUCUGGAGGAAAGAGUGGCUUUAGUUUGGUCUGGAGAAGGGGGAGGGUGUGUGUGUGUGUAUGUGUGUGAUUGUGUGUCUGUGUGUGUGUGUGUUGUGUGUGUGUGUGUGUGUGUGUGUGUAUCUGAACGUUGAGGACCUCCUGACACAGCAUAAUUCUAAAUUUAUGAACACCGGAAUGGUCUGAACAUUGAACAUGAAAUAUUUUUGGGGAGGCAACAAUUCAGAAAGGUCACAUGGAGUUUUGCAUUAAGGCGAGGGCCGCACCACUGCAGCACCAUAGGGAGUUUAUGGGCAUGCUCUGAUGGCCAACACUGACCUCUUCAGCUGAGCACCAUGUUUGGGCAUUGAAGAAGCCACACUCCACAGUUAUAACAUAAGGAGAUGUUUUUCUGAUGUACACUAAAUUAUAUAGUGAGUGAUAAAUAAGUGUUUUGUGAGACAACAAUACAAUAUAUUAU
This is a long non-coding RNA of Alosa sapidissima (American shad), 509 nucleotides long. RefSeq lists it as uncharacterized. Lineage: Eukaryota; Metazoa; Chordata; Actinopteri; Clupeiformes; Clupeidae. The record is from RefSeq and is a predicted model, not a curated record. The transcript has 3 exons.